AGCGAACGCUGGCGGCAGGCUUAACACAUGCAAGUCGAACGGGCACUUCGGUGUCAGUGGCAGACGGGUGAGUAACGCGUGGGAACAUAUCUCUUGGUUCGGAACAACACAGGGAAACUUGUGCUAAUACCGGAUAAGCCCUUACGGGGAAAGAUUUAUCGCCGAGAGAUUGGCCCGCGUCUGAUUAGCUAGUUGGUGUGGUAAAAGCGCACCAAGGCGACGAUCAGUAGCNGGUCUGAGAGGAUGAUCAGCCACAUUGGGACUGAGACACGGCCCAAACUCUACGGGAGGCAGCAGUGGGGAAUAUUGGACAAUGGGCGCAAGCCUGAUCCAGCCAUGCCGCGUGAGUGAUGAAGGCCCUAGGGUUGUAAAGCUCUUUUGUACGGGAAGAUAAUGACGGUACCGUAAGAAUAAGCCCCGGCUAACUUCGUGCCA
RNAcentral lists this ribosomal RNA (435 nucleotides) under uncultured bacterium. RNAcentral describes it as "bacterial SSU rRNA". It matches the Rfam family "Bacterial small subunit ribosomal RNA", at positions 29 to 510 of the family's 1533-position model. The record is from RNAcentral.